Molecule: long non-coding RNA, 285 nt
Organism: Pomacea canaliculata
Lineage: Eukaryota; Metazoa; Mollusca; Gastropoda; Architaenioglossa; Ampullariidae
Exons: 3
Source: RefSeq, a predicted model, not a curated record
AGUCAGCAGGUGUAUCACCCGGUCAGCCUCACCUCCUGCACUAUGAAUUUUAUGCCGGUAAAGACGUGGAGAAGGCCGUCAACGACUUGUCACAGGCGACGAGCGGAGGGUCGUUGUACGUCCUCGCUGAUGAAGUACAGAGUGAGUGGAGUGAGAUAAUAAAGUUAAAUUGAAUUGAGACAGUCUCAGCUCUGGUCUCACUGUCAGGACAAAAUCCAAGAGAUUCAAGGGCUGAUCGAAAGCUGCAAGAUCGAUAUUUUGGUAGCUGAUAAUUACAUAGGAACG